RNAcentral lists this ribosomal RNA (722 nucleotides) under Sugiyamaella smithiae. Its description in RNAcentral is "LSU rRNA". The stretch from base 87 to 722 matches the Rfam family "Eukaryotic large subunit ribosomal RNA", at positions 1 to 657 of the family's 3401-position model. The record is from RNAcentral. Lineage: Eukaryota; Fungi; Ascomycota; Dipodascomycetes; Dipodascales; Trichomonascaceae.
UAUACAACGUAUUAGGUUUUACCAACUCGUUGGCUAUUAGAGCAGGAUUUUAAUUGUCUGGCGAUAAAACAAUUCAUUCUACAAUUUGACCUCAAAUCAGGUGAGACUACCCGCUGAACUUAAGCAUAUCAAUAAGCGGAGGAAAAGAAACCAACAGGGAUUGCCUUAGUAACGGCGAGUGAAGUGGCAAAAGCUCAAAUUUGAAAUCUGGCGCCUUUGGUGUCCGAGUUGUAAUUUGAAGAAGGUAACUUUGAGAUUGGCCCUUGCAUAAGUUCCUUGGAACAGGACGUCAUAGAGGGUGAGAAUCCCGUUUAUGGUGAGGUGCCCAAUUUCUUGUAAAGUGCUUUCGAAGAGUCGAGUUGUUUGGGAAUGCAGCUCUAAGUGGGUGGUAAAUUCCAUCUAAGGCUAAAUAUUGGCGAGAGACCGAUAGCGAACAAGUACAGUGAUGGAAAGAUGAAAAGAACUUUGAAAAGAGAGUGAAAAAGUACGUGAAAUUGUUGAAAGGGAAGGGCAUAAGAUCAGACUUGGUAUUCAGUGAUCAACUUUCUUUCGGGAUUGUGCACUCGCUGUUUACUGGGCCAAUAUCAGUUUUGGUGGUAGGAUAAUGAUUUAGGAAUGUGGCUCCUCGGAGUGUUAUAGCCUAGGUUGAUACUACCUACCGGGACUGAGGACAGCGCUUUUGCUAGGAUAUUGGCGUAAUGAUCUUAUGCCACCCGUCUUGA